AUAAGCUUUAUGCUUUAUAAGAAUGCAGGUACAACUGUUGUUCUCUGCCUCACAUUACAUGAAGAGCAUACCAUACCAUCAUACCAUGCAAUAUGUUUUAUCAUGCCCUUGGUCUGUUUCACUGUCAAUCAGACAGUGAAACAGAUUGCCAGAAGGAGCAAUUCUGUCUUACAUGUAAAAGACAUUAUUUAUGGAAUGACUUGUAUAUUCUCUUCUCAGCAGCAUAAUUAAAUUAGCCUUAAACCUAUCAUAGCCUAUAUUAAAUAUUGAAAGUUUUUCAAUUCAAAUGUGAAUGGAAAACACUAAACUGAUUAAAUAU
This 319-nucleotide long non-coding RNA is filed under the name Androctonus crassicauda. The record is from RNAcentral. Lineage: Eukaryota; Metazoa; Arthropoda; Arachnida; Scorpiones; Buthidae.